Molecule: long non-coding RNA, 306 nt
Filed under: Androctonus crassicauda
Lineage: Eukaryota; Metazoa; Arthropoda; Arachnida; Scorpiones; Buthidae
Source: RNAcentral
CUGUUGAUUUUAGUGGGGACAACAUGCCUCUUUCUGCUGGAUAUCUGCAUAUCCUAAUAACUGUUCUCCUACUGAUGUCCAGCAUUUCAGCAAUUUCAUUCACCAAAACACUAUUUUCUCUAUGGUGGAUUACCAACUCUCUAAAUUCUUUCGUGAUGGCACGAGGCAUUGUCUUCAGUAUCAUAGCACACCGUUUCACUACGUCAUCCUCAUCCCUGCAUCUUGCCGAGUAUUUCAGGGAAAAUUUUUACUCCCUCCUAUCGCACAUGGUUUUUAUUAUCAAUUGCGAAAGCCAUAAUAUUAGUC